Molecule: ribosomal RNA, 184 nt
Filed under: Escherichia coli
Lineage: Bacteria; Pseudomonadati; Pseudomonadota; Gammaproteobacteria; Enterobacterales; Enterobacteriaceae
Description: partial 23S ribosomal RNA
Rfam family: Bacterial large subunit ribosomal RNA
Source: RNAcentral
UAAGUGCUGAAAGCAUCUAAGCACGAAACUUGCCCCGAGAUGAGUUCUCCCUGACUCCUUGAGAGUCCUGAAGGAACGUUGAAGACGACGACGUUGAUAGGCCGGGUGUGUAAGCGCAGCGAUGCGUUGAGCUAACCGGUACUAAUGAACCGUGAGGCUUAACCUUACAACGCCGAAGGUGUUU